Crucibulum laeve is the source of this 105-nucleotide non-coding RNA. Lineage: Eukaryota; Fungi; Basidiomycota; Agaricomycetes; Agaricales; Nidulariaceae. The record is from the annotation of a GenBank genome assembly.
GGUUCUGUAGUGUAGUGGUUAUCACUCGAGAUUUUGAGACAUCACGUGAUUGGUUAUUGCCAUCUUCGAUUUCUCGUAACCCCGGUUCGAACCCGGGCAGGACCU